AGCCGGGGCUUCUUCUCCUGCUACCGUCAUCAUCUUCGCAGGUGAAAGAGCUUUACAACCCUAAGGCCUUCUUCACUCACGCGGCAUGGCUGGAUCAGGCUUGCGCCCAUUGUCCAAUAUUCCC
RNAcentral lists this ribosomal RNA (124 nucleotides) under uncultured bacterium. RNAcentral's name for it is "partial 16S ribosomal RNA". The record is from RNAcentral.